GGUAGCUAAAUGCGGAAGAGAUAAGUGCUGAAAGCAUCUAAGCACGAAACUUGCCCCGAGAUGAGUUCUCCCUGACUCCUUGAGAGUCCUGAAGGAACGUUGAAGACGACGACGUUGAUAGGCCGGGUGUGUAAGCGCAGCGAUGCGUUGAGCUAACCGGUACUAAUGAACCGUGAGGCUUAACCUUACAACGCCGAAG
Molecule: ribosomal RNA, 199 nt
Filed under: Escherichia coli
Lineage: Bacteria; Pseudomonadati; Pseudomonadota; Gammaproteobacteria; Enterobacterales; Enterobacteriaceae
Description: partial 23S ribosomal RNA
Rfam family: Bacterial large subunit ribosomal RNA
Source: RNAcentral